GGAUUAUUGGGUUUAAGGGUGCGCAGGCGGGGGAUUAGGUCGGCGGUGAAAUAUCAGGGCUCAACCUUGGGAGUGCCGUCGAAACCGGUUUUCUUGAGUGCGGAUGAAGUAGGCGGAAUUUGUGGUGUAGCGGUGAAAUGCGUAGAUAUCACAAAGAACACCGAUUGCGGAGGCAGCUUACUAAACCGCAACUGACGCUCAUGCACGAAGGCGUGGGGAUCAAACAGGAUUAGAUACCCUGGUAGUCCACGCAGUAAACGAUGAUUACUAGCUGUUUGCGAUACAAUGUAAGCGGCUGAGCGAAAGCGUUAAGUAAUCCACCUGGGGAGUACGUUCGCAAGAAUGAAACUCAAAGGAAUUGACGGGGGCCCGCACAAGCGGAGGAACAUGUGGUUUAAUUCGAUGAUACGCGAGGAACCUUACCCGGGCUUGAAAUGCAUCUGACCGGGCCGGAAACGGUCUUUCCCAGCGAUGGGCAGAUGUGUAGGUGCUGCAUGGUUGUCGUCAGCUCGUGCCGUGAGGUGUCGGCUUAAGUGCCAUAACGAGCGCAACCCUCAUCGUCAGUUACCAUCGGGUAAAGCCGGGGACUCUGACGAGACUGCCAUCGUAAGAUGCGAGGAAGGUGGGGAUGACGUCAAAUCAGCACGGCCCUUAUGUCCGGGGCGACACACGUGUUACAAUGGGCGGUACAGCGGGGAGCUACCUGGCGACAGGGAGCCGAUCCCGAAAGCCGCUCACAGUUCGGAUCGGAGUCUGCAACUCGACUC
This 767-nucleotide ribosomal RNA is filed under the name uncultured bacterium. RNAcentral describes it as "bacterial SSU rRNA". It matches the Rfam family "Bacterial small subunit ribosomal RNA", at positions 547 to 1318 of the family's 1533-position model. The record is from RNAcentral.